GAGAAAUCACUUCCGCGGCAGAUAUUCAUUGUAUCC
Molecule: small RNA, 36 nt
Filed under: Thalassiosira rotula
Lineage: Eukaryota; Bacillariophyta; Thalassiosirophyceae; Thalassiosirales; Thalassiosiraceae
Description: partial Mitochondrion-encoded tmRNA
Source: RNAcentral